RNAcentral lists this ribosomal RNA (975 nucleotides) under uncultured bacterium. Its description in RNAcentral is "bacterial SSU rRNA". It matches the Rfam family "Bacterial small subunit ribosomal RNA", at positions 58 to 1034 of the family's 1533-position model. The record is from RNAcentral.
CAAGUCGAGGGGUAACGAUGGAGCUCGCUCCAGGCGACGACCGGCGCACGGGUGAGUAUCGCGUUUGUAACCUACCUCUAACUGGAGCAUAGCCCGAAGAAAUUCGGAUUAAUACUCCAUAACACUAUAGUCUGGCAUCAUUUUAUAGUUAAAGCUCCGGCGGUUAGAGAUGGGCAUGCGUAACAUUAGCUAGUUGGUGAGGUAAUAGCUCACCAAGGCUACGAUGUUUAGGGGGUCUGAGAGGAUGGUCCCCCACACUGGUACUGAGACACGGACCAGACUCCUACGGGAGGCAGCAGUGAGGAAUAUUGGUCAAUGGGCGCAAGCCUGAACCAGCCAUGCCGCGUGAAGGAUGACGGCUCUAUGAGUUGUAAACUUCUUUUAUACGGGAAGAAACCCCCGAACGUGUUCGGGGUUGACGGUACCGUACGAAUAAGCAUCGGCUAACUCCGUGCCAGCAGCCGCGGUAAUACGGAGGAUGCAAGCGUUAUCCGGAUUUAUUGGGUUUAAAGGGUGCGUAGGCGGAAAUUUAAGUCAGUGGUGAAAUCCUGCGGCUCAACCGUAGAACUGUCAUUGAUACUGAAUUUCUUGAAUACAGUUGAGGUUGGCGGAAUAUGUAAUGUAGCGGUGAAAUGCUUAGAUAUUACAUAGAACACCGAUUGCGAAGGCAGCUAACUAAACUGAUAUUGACGCUGAGGCACGAAAGCGUAGGGAGCGAACAGGAUUAGAUACCCUGGUAGUCCACGCCGUAAACGAUGAUUACUCGUUGUAGGCAAUACAUCGUCAGCGACUGAGCGAAAGCAUUAAGUAAUCCACCUGGGGAGUACGAUCGCAAGAUUGAAACUCAAAGGAAUUGACGGGGGCCCGCACAAGCGGAGGAACAUGUGGUUUAAUUCGAUGAUACGCGAGGAACCUUACCUGGGCUUAAAUGCAUAACGACGGACCGGGAAACUGGUCUUUCUUCGGACGGAAUGC